This 116-nucleotide non-coding RNA is filed under the name Maribacter litoralis. RNAcentral's name for it is "Bacteroid-trp". It matches the Rfam family "Bacteroidete tryptophan peptide leader RNA". RNAcentral also lists the same sequence under 1 other name. Lineage: Bacteria; Pseudomonadati; Bacteroidota; Flavobacteriia; Flavobacteriales; Flavobacteriaceae. The record is from RNAcentral.
CUUUUUAUAUUUGGUGCUCAAUGAAAAAUUUAAUCGCAAAUACUUGGUGGUGGAACAACUUACGAAAAACAUCGUGAGCACAGCAUCAUUGUAGUAAAACUAUAUAAAGGCUUGUC